RNAcentral lists this transfer RNA (84 nucleotides) under Echinostoma caproni. It matches the Rfam family "tRNA". From Rfam's summary of the family: Transfer RNA (tRNA) molecules are approximately 80 nucleotides in length. Their secondary structure includes four short double-helical elements and three loops (D, anti-codon, and T loops). Lineage: Eukaryota; Metazoa; Platyhelminthes; Trematoda; Plagiorchiida; Echinostomatidae. The record is from Rfam by way of RNAcentral.
GCCUCGUAGUUCAGCUGGUAGAGCGUGCGAUAUACAAAAGGCAUGGGUGGCGUCCAUGCGUGGGUUCGAAUCCCACCGAAGGCU